UAAUACGGAGGGUGCAAGCGUUAUCCGGAUUUACUGGGUUUAAAGGGUGUGUAGGCGGGCUAUUAAGUCAGUGGUGAAAUCUCCGAGCUUAACUUGGAAACUGCCAUUGAUACUAUUAGUCUUGAAUUUUGUUGAGGUAGGCGGAAUAAGUCAUGUAGCGGUGAAAUGCAUAGAUAUGACUUAGAACACCAAUUGCGAAGGCAGCUUGCUAAACAAACAUUGACGCUGAGGCACGAAAGCGUGGGGAUCAAACAGGAUUAGAUACCCUGGUAGUCCACGCCCUAAACGAUGAUUACUCGACAUACGCGAUACACAGUGUGUGUCUGAGCGAAAGCAUUAAGUAAUCCACCUGGGAAGUACGACCGCAAGGUUGAAACUCAAAUGAAUUGACGG
RNAcentral lists this ribosomal RNA (393 nucleotides) under uncultured bacterium. RNAcentral's name for it is "bacterial SSU rRNA". It matches the Rfam family "Bacterial small subunit ribosomal RNA", at positions 521 to 916 of the family's 1533-position model. The record is from RNAcentral.